This 1948-nucleotide ribosomal RNA is filed under the name Flavobacterium sp. RNAcentral's name for it is "bacterial LSU rRNA". It matches the Rfam family "Bacterial large subunit ribosomal RNA", at positions 1 to 1967 of the family's 2925-position model. Lineage: Bacteria; Pseudomonadati; Bacteroidota; Flavobacteriia; Flavobacteriales; Flavobacteriaceae. The record is from RNAcentral.
GUACAAUAAGCAAAAUAAGGGCGUAUGGGGGAUGCCUAGGCUCUCAGAGGCGAAGAAGGACGUGAUAAGCUGCGAAAAGCUGCGGGGAUUGGCACAUACGAAUUGAUCCGCAGAUAUCCGAAUGGGGCAACCCGGCAUGUUGAAGACAUGUCACUCCGAUAGGAGAGCAAACCCGCUGAACUGAAACAUCUAAGUAGGCGGAGGAGAAGAAAACAAAAGUGAUUCCGUAAGUAGUGGCGAGCGAACGCGGAUUAGCCCAAACCAAAGUUGUUACGGCAAUUUUGGGGUUGUAGGACCACGACAUUUCUUGCGGAUUGAAUUAGAACUACCUGGAAAGGUAGGCCAUAGACGGUGAUAGCCCGGUAUAAGUAAGAGAAGAUAAGGAUAGUGGUAUCCUGAGUAGGGCGGGGCACGUGAAACCCUGUCUGAAUUUGGCGGGACCAUCCGCUAAGGCUAAAUACUCCUGAGAGACCGAUAGUGAACCAGUACCGUGAGGGAAAGGUGAAAAGAACCGUGAAUAACGGAGUGAAAUAGAUCCUGAAACCAUACGCUUACAAGCGGUCGGAGCCCACAAGUUGGGUGACGGCGUGCCUUUUGCAUAAUGAGCCUACGAGUUACCGUUGCUGGCAAGGAUAAGCACUUAUGGUGUGGAUCCGUAGCGAAAGCGAGUCUGAAUAGGGCGAUGCAGUCAGUAGUGGUAGACGCGAAACCGUGUGAUCUACCCAUGGGCAGGAUGAAGCUGUGGUAACACAUAGUGGAGGUCCGAACCGGUUGACGUUGAAAAGUCUUCGGAUGACCUGUGGGUAGGGGUGAAAGGCCAAUCAAACUCGGAAAUAGCUCGUACUCCCCGAAAUGCAUUUAGGUGCAGCGCUGGUUAUAAGUUAUAUAGAGGUAGAGCUACUGAUUGGAUGCGGGGGCUUCACCGCCUACCAAUUCCUGACAAACUCCGAAUGCUAUAUAAUGUUUACCAGCAGUGAGGGCAUGGGUGCUAAGGUCCAUGUCCGAGAGGGAAAGAACCCAGACCAUCAGCUAAGGUCCCCAAAUGUAUGCUAAGUUGAAAAAACGAGGUUUGUCUGCCCAGACAGCUAGGAUGUUGGCUUGGAAGCAGCCAUUCAUUUAAAGAGUGCGUAACAGCUCACUAGUCGAGCGGACGAGCAUGGAUAAUAAUCGGGCAUAAGCAUACUACCGAAGCUAUGGAUUUGUAGUAAUACAAGUGGUAGGGGAGCAUUCUAACAGGGUUGAAGGUGUAGCGCGAGCUAUGCUGGACUGGUUAGAAAAGAAAAUGUAGGCAUAAGUAACGAUAAUGCGGGCGAGAAACCCGCACACCGAAAGACUAAGGUUUCCUCAGCUAUGCUAAUCAGCUGAGGGUUAGUCGGGUCCUAAGGCGAACCCGAAAGGGACAGUCGAUGGCCAACGGGUUAAUAUUCCCGUACUACUGUUAAUUGUGAUGGGGUGACGGAGUGAUGAAAGUACCGCGAACUGACGGAAUAGUUCGUUAAAGCACCUACCUAUAAGUUGCGCAGGCAAAUCCACGCGACUUGGGGAAAUGCGAUAGUACUCAGAGGCUUCGGCCAAAGAGAUAGUGUACCUAAGGGCUUCCAAGAAAAACCUCUAAACUUAGAUUAACAGUACCCGUACCGUAAACCGACACAGGUAGUCGAGGAGAGAAUCCUAAGGUGCUCGAGAGAUUCAUGGCUAAGGAAUUAGGCAAAAUAGACCUGUAACUUCGGGAGAAAGGUCGCCAGCAGUAAUGCUGGCCGCAGUGAAAAGGUCCAGGCGACUGUUUAUCAAAAACACAGGGCUCUGCAAAAUCGUAAGAUGAGGUAUAGGGCCUGACACCUGCCCGGUGCUGGAAGGUUAAGAGGAGAUGUUAUCUUCGGAGAAGCAUUGAAUUGAAGCCCCAGUAAACGGCGGCCGUAACUAUAACGGUCCUAAGGUAGCGAAAUUC